GCGCCUACGGGAGGCAGCAGUUAGGAAUUUUGCGCAAUGGGCGAAAGCCUGACGCAGCAACGCCGCGUGAGGGAUGAAGGCCUUCGGGUUGUAAACCUCUUUAAGCAGGGAAGAACACAAUGACGGUACCUGCAGAAUAAGCACCGGCUAACUCUGUGCCAGCAGCCGCGGUAAUACAGAGGGUGCAAGCGUUAUUCGGAAUUACUGGGCGUAAAGAGCGCGUAGGCUGUUUGAUAAGUUUGAUGUGAAAGCCCUGGACUAAAUUCAGGAAGUGCAUCGAAUACUGUCAGACUAGAGUAUAGGAGAGGACAACGGAAUUCCUGGUGUAGAGGUGAAAUUCGUAGAUAUCAGGAGGAACAACAGUAGCGAAGGCGGUUGUCUGGACUAUAACUGACGCUGAGGCGCGAAAGCGUGGGGAGCAAACAGGAUUAGAUACCCGAGUAGUCAU
RNAcentral lists this ribosomal RNA (448 nucleotides) under uncultured bacterium. RNAcentral describes it as "bacterial SSU rRNA". It matches the Rfam family "Bacterial small subunit ribosomal RNA", at positions 335 to 797 of the family's 1533-position model. The record is from RNAcentral.